GCUCAGUCUCUGAAGGGAGGGUAUCAUGCUUUGCUUCAGCAUGUCACCGUAUCUGUUGGCUUUCAUGGUUUCCUCAAUGAACUGUAGCUCCCUAGUGCCGGUAGCACUCAUGUAGGCCCAGACCAUGACACUCCCACCACCAUACUUGACUGUAGGAAAGACACACUUGUCUUUGUACUCCUCACCUGGUUGCCGCCACACAUGCUUGAC
This is a non-coding RNA of Pelobates cultripes (western spadefoot toad), 210 nucleotides long. The record is from the annotation of a GenBank genome assembly. Lineage: Eukaryota; Metazoa; Chordata; Amphibia; Anura; Pelobatidae.